CAAUAGCGUAUACUAAAGUUGUUGCGAUUAAAAAGCUCGUAGUUGGAUCUCAGGCAUGGGCGCACGGUCCGCCUCGCGGCGGUCACUGUGUGUUUUGUUUCCCAUCCUACGCUUCCCGGUUAUCAGCCCAUGGUGCUCUUCACUAAGCGUUUUGGGUGGCCGGAACGUUUACUUUGAAGAAAUUAGAGUGUUCAAAGCAGGCACGUCGCCUGAAUAAUGGUGCAUGGAAUAAUGGAAUAGGACCUCGGUUCUAUUUUGCUGGUUUUCGGAACACGAGGUAAUGAUUAAGAGGGACAGACGGGGGCAUCCGUAUUGCGGUGUUAGAGGUGAAAUUCUUGGAUCAUCGCAAGACGAACAACUGCGAAAGCAUUUGCCAAGCAUGUUUUCAUUAG
RNAcentral lists this ribosomal RNA (392 nucleotides) under uncultured eukaryote. RNAcentral's name for it is "partial 18S ribosomal RNA". It matches the Rfam family "Eukaryotic small subunit ribosomal RNA", at positions 592 to 976 of the family's 1831-position model. The record is from RNAcentral.